Molecule: long non-coding RNA, 625 nt
Filed under: Drosophila guanche
Lineage: Eukaryota; Metazoa; Arthropoda; Insecta; Diptera; Drosophilidae
Source: RNAcentral
UUAUUAUAGAUUAAUGAGAUUAUAUUGAAUUUAUUUGUAUUUUUAAUUUGCUUAACUUAUUUGAACGCCAGUAUCUUCAUGUUGCCAAGACACAGACCCGACUGGGCUGUUAACAAAUUGUUUUAAGUUGUUUUCCUUUUGGGACCAAGUACUGCUCCACAGGGUCGUGCCAAGGGGCGAUGGCGACAAUCUGGGCUUGAAACUAUCCAAUGUUGAAUAGGAAGGGUGCUUGGAGGCGCCGUUUUACAACUUUGCAAUGGGCGCAAAUAUUCCUUGGCACGGCCUUGCUGCUCCACGAAUUAAAGAAGCCUGCAGAUGUUAUUCCCAGCCAUAUGCAAACUGUGGAAUAUGCAAAGGGUAUCGUUUCAUGGGUUUCCAUUAAUGUACACAUAUUUAUAUGAGCUAUAAUACUCAAAUGUAUAGACAAACGACCGUUCAGGUUUCUUUCCUGCAGAUAUGGGUUUUAUCAAAGUUGUCGGCGCUUAUUUCGUUGAUUGUUCUCCUCUUUCGAUCAUGCAAGAGCCGCCAAUCCCACUAAAAGCAAUCUCCUGCAUGGAUCCAUUUUGCAUUCAUUGUUUUAUUAACAGAGGUAAGCAAAACCACACAGCUUCCUGAGAAGUGUAAC